Molecule: ribosomal RNA, 497 nt
Filed under: uncultured bacterium
Lineage: Bacteria
Description: partial 16S ribosomal RNA
Rfam family: Bacterial small subunit ribosomal RNA
Source: RNAcentral
GAUGAACGCUGGCGGCGUGCCUAAUACAUGCAAGUCGAGCGAACAGACGAGGAGCUUGCUCCUCUGACGUUAGCGGCGGACGGGUGAGUAACACGUGGAUAACCUACCUAUAAGACUGGGAUAACUUCGGGAAACCGGAGCUAAUACCGGAUAAUAUAUUGAACCGCAUGGUUCAAUAGUGAAAGACGGUUUUGCUGUCACUUAUAGAUGGAUCCGCGCCGCAUUAGCUAGUUGGUAAGGUAACGGCUUACCAAGGCAACGAUGCGUAGCCGACCUGAGAGGGUGAUCGGCCACACUGGAACUGAGACACGGUCCAGACUCCUACGGGAGGCAGCAAUAGGGAAUCUUCCGCAAUGGGCGAAAGCCUGACAGAGCAACGCCGCGUGAGUGAUGAAGGUCUUCGGAUCGUAAAACUCUGUUAUUAGGGAAGAACAAAUGUGUAAGUAACUAUGCACGUCUUGACGGUACCUAAUCAGAAAGCCACGGCUAACUACGUG